Long non-coding RNA from Corvus hawaiiensis (hawaiian crow), 378 nucleotides. RefSeq lists it as uncharacterized. The record is from RefSeq and is a predicted model, not a curated record. NCBI's taxonomy places the organism in Eukaryota, Metazoa, Chordata, Aves, Passeriformes, Corvidae. The transcript is spliced from 3 exons.
GCAGGUGUGACCCCCAUUUGGAGCGGUGUCACAGUGUCCCCAUGCAGGUGUGACCCCCCCUUGGAGCGGUGUCACAGUGUCCCCAUGCAGGUGUGACCUCCCUCUGAGCCUUGUGGUGUCCCCAUGCAGGUGUGACCCCCCCUUGGAGCGGUGUCACAUUGUCCCCAUGCAGGUGUGACCCCCCGUUGGAGCGGUGUCACAGUGUCCCCAUGCAGGUGUGACCUCCCUCUGAGCCUUGUGGUGUCCCCAUGCAGGUGUGACCCCCCCUUGGAGCGGUGUCACAUUGUCCCCAUGCAGGUGUGACCCCCCCUUGGAGCGGUGUCACAUUGUCCCCAUGCAGGUGUGACCCCCCCUUGGAGCGGUGUCACAUUGUCCCCG